This 440-nucleotide ribosomal RNA is filed under the name uncultured bacterium. Its description in RNAcentral is "partial 16S ribosomal RNA". It matches the Rfam family "Bacterial small subunit ribosomal RNA", at positions 338 to 795 of the family's 1533-position model. The record is from RNAcentral.
CCUACGGGUGGCUGCAGUGGGGAAUAUUGCACAAUGGGGGAAACCCUGAUGCAGCGACGCCGCGUGAGUGAAGAAGGUAUUCGGUUUGUAAAGCUCUGUCAGCAGGGAAGAAAAUGACGGUACCUGAGUAAGAAGCCCCGGCUAAUUACGUGCCAGCAGCCGCGGUAAUACGUAGGGCGCACGCGUUAGCCGGAUUUACUGGGUGUAAAGGGGGCGUAGACGGGAGUGCAAGUCUGGGGUGAAAGGCGGGGGCUCAAACCCCGGACUGCUCUGGAAACUGGACGGCUGGAGUGCAGGAGAGGUAAGUGGAAUUCCUGGUGUAGCGGUGAAAUGCGUAGAUAUUAGGAGGAACACCAGUGGCGAAGGCGGCUUACUGGACUGUAACUGACGUUGAGGCUCGAAAGCGUGGGGAGCAAACAGGAUUAGAUACCCUGGUAGUC